RNAcentral lists this transfer RNA (74 nucleotides) under Cotesia glomerata. RNAcentral's name for it is "tRNA-Thr". It matches the Rfam family "tRNA". Rfam says of the family: Transfer RNA (tRNA) molecules are approximately 80 nucleotides in length. Their secondary structure includes four short double-helical elements and three loops (D, anti-codon, and T loops). Further hydrogen bonds mediate the characteristic L-shaped molecular structure. tRNAs have two regions of fundamental functional importance: the anti-codon, which is responsible for specific mRNA codon recognition, and the 3' end, to which the tRNAs corresponding amino acid is attached (by aminoacyl-tRNA synthetases). tRNAs cope with the degeneracy of the genetic code in two manners: having more than one tRNA (with a specific anti-codon) for a particular amino acid; and 'wobble' base-pairing, i.e. permitting non-standard base-pairing at the 3rd anti-codon position. Lineage: Eukaryota; Metazoa; Arthropoda; Insecta; Hymenoptera; Braconidae. The record is from RNAcentral.
GUCUCGGAUAGCUUAACUGGUAGAGCCUUUGGCGCGUAAACCGAGAGAUCUGGGUGCGAUUCCCAGUCUGGGCU